UCAAACUUGGUCAUUUAGAGGAAGUAAAAGUCGUAACAAGGUUUCCGUAGGUGAACCUGCGGAAGGAUCAUUAACAAAUCUGGAUGUGCGCAUUCGUGCGCAUAUUAGCCCUAGGCUUGGCACUUUUGUGCUGGGUCUCUGGUAGUGGUGGGUUGGUGAUCUGCGGCGUUAGCUCGUCAUUCUUGACAGCUUCGGCCAAACGUCACUGGCCCAACAUUGACGCUUGUACAUGUUUGACAGAGUUUGUGUAUGCAAAUACAAAAAUGACAACUUUUAACAAUGGAUCUCUUGGCUCUUGCAUCGAUGAAGAACGCAGC
RNAcentral lists this unclassified non-coding RNA (317 nucleotides) under uncultured fungus. RNAcentral's name for it is "partial contains small subunit ribosomal RNA, internal transcribed spacer 1, and 5.8S ribosomal RNA". The stretch from base 1 to 73 matches the Rfam family "Eukaryotic small subunit ribosomal RNA", at positions 1759 to 1831 of the family's 1831-position model. The record is from RNAcentral. Lineage: Eukaryota; Fungi.